This 224-nucleotide long non-coding RNA is filed under the name Elaeis guineensis (African oil palm). Its description in RNAcentral is "long non-coding RNA (EGUI_LNC005492)". The record is from RNAcentral. Lineage: Eukaryota; Viridiplantae; Streptophyta; Magnoliopsida; Arecales; Arecaceae.
UUGCAUGUUUCCUACUGUCACCCAAAUAAAAAAUUUUAUCCUAAAGGAGAGCUGUUGUCACCCAAUUGUACCUCAUGGUUUAAUAAUGGACAUAAAAAAUGGAUGGAGAACACGGAAAAAUUGCCAAUCAUACUUGAAAAAGAUAGUUCAAUCCUCAUCCAAACAUCUCGAAAAACUUCCAGUAAUAUGAGAACCUGAGCCAUGAGGGCCUUAUCAAGGACAGU